Long non-coding RNA from Megalobrama amblycephala (Wuchang bream), 2038 nucleotides. RefSeq lists it as uncharacterized. NCBI's taxonomy places the organism in Eukaryota, Metazoa, Chordata, Actinopteri, Cypriniformes, Xenocyprididae. The record is from RefSeq and is a predicted model, not a curated record. The transcript has 4 exons.
UCAGUUCCUGUCUCCAGUUCCUGUCUCCUUGUCAUUAUAAUUUGCCCCUAGUCGAUUUCAUUAAUUUCAUCGUCUGGCUAUAUAAGUCUGAUUUCUUGGUUGAAGUUAAGGAGGACAAUAACACUUAUCCAGUCCUAUCCAUAAAGAGUUUGGCCACUCCAGCUCACCCCAAUCCUGCAACCAAAUCCUCCACAUCCCUUAACAUUGGGACCAUCAUGGCCAAUCCAGAGAUCACUCCAGCCCCAGAUUCCAUUCCAGAGCAAUCAGUCAAGAUGGCCACCACCACACCUGAGCCCUCGGUCAAGAUGGUCGUUGCCACGCCUGAGCCCUCAGUCAAGAUGGCCGCCGCCACGCCUGAGCCCUCGGUCAAGAUGGGCGCCGCCGAAAAUGAGCCCUCAGCCAAAAUGGCCGCCAUGCCUAAGUCCUCUCCGGAGCUAAUGGAGGACUUAUGGCUGAUCGACUUCUGAUCAGAGCCAGUGUCUUCUCCAGCCCCUGAGUCCGCUCCAGUGUCUUCUCCAGCCCCUGAGUCCGCUCCAGUGUCUUCUCUAGCCCCUGUCCAGAGUCCAGUGAUGGCUUCAGCCCCUGACCAGAGUACAGAGAUGACUCUAUGACAUUGUUGACUCCAACAGAUGUGCCCGCUCCAGCCCGCGAACCCACUCCAGACUCCGCUCCAGCCUAGAAACCCAUAGCUCCUCCCAAGAAAAUUUUGGGGGGGCCCAUAUAAAUCGUGGCCAUAGUGGUCGAGCCUGGGGUCCGCGCCAAGGCCACGGAGGCUGCACCGCCAUAGCCCCCUGAACUGCCCUAUCCUCCAUGGCACCUUGAACUACAGGUACUGCCCUGGAGGCUUCCUGUCCUGCCUAAGAUUGUCCUAGUCAGCCUACAGGACAAAUAUUCAUAUGCCUGUAGGCUAUAUAAGUUAUAGAAUAAUUUUUACUUUUAAUGGGAUUCUGCUUUUACGGUGGCCAGGAAGUGCAAAACAACAUUACAAAGUGUGAAACACUUUUACGAAGCUCGAGACAAAUUUACAUUUUGGAAAACAUUUUUACCUAUAAUAAAACACAAUUAUGUGAGAAAAACACUUUUACCAAGGACAAAACAAAUUUACAUUUUAGAAAACAAAUUAACAAGACGCAAAACACUUUUACCAGUCCGAAACAAAUUUACAAUGACAGAUUCUUCACGGAAAGGGAAUGUACCAUACACCGGAAGUGGCGCGGUGAAAGGUGUUGUGGUUGUGGAGUAAAUGGCGUAAAUAAAGUUUAUGGUGACCGAACAUGGACUGCGGCCGAGGGAUGUUUUGCCCGUUUUGUGGCAAACACAUGAGCAGCUUAACGUGGUUUUGCUUUACGUGUGGUCGGUGUUUGGAGUUUCUAAAGGACGCGGGCCAGACGGAAACACAGGGGACGUCUCGACAGCCGGACAGUGCUAAGCAACGUAAGCUGUUAUUUGUUAUUUUUUAGUGUAGCAAAACGCUAGCUAUCUGAGACCAUGUGAAUAAAAAUCAGUAAUGCUAAUAAUGAUGUUUUGAGCGGCUUAUAACUUUCUGUUUUGAAACGGAACUCUGUCCAUUUCAGCAGAACAACCAUGCCCAUCAUACAAACAGUUCAUGGAGUACAGAAGCUCGAAGUCAGAAGAACGGCAGUCUUUUAACUAUUUUAACUAUGUCUUUACUACUACUACCUUUUACUCAAAACUACAUUAUAGACUUUAUCAUGGAGCUAAUAAUUUUUCUGUUUUAUCAUGUUUCAGAAAUGCACCAGGACAUUCAUCAACAAUUCAGCCAGGACAGAUAGUAAUAUCUGAUGCUGAGGAUCUGGAUCCACCUGAAAAAAACUUCUUGCUACAGUAAAUGCACAGACCUGUAUUCACCAAAUGUUGAGCAAGAGGACGAAGAGCCAGUUGCUGUCAAUGUGAAGAAUUUCCAACUCACAGCAAUAAGGCCAGGCUGCUGUGUCUGUGGAAGAUGUUUUGAUGUUUGCUACUGGGCUGUCUUCACUUCCCCAAUCUGGCUUGGAACCACUGCCACAAAUAGAGUUCC